RNAcentral lists this transfer RNA (72 nucleotides) under Schistosoma mansoni. The record is from RNAcentral. Lineage: Eukaryota; Metazoa; Platyhelminthes; Trematoda; Strigeidida; Schistosomatidae.
GACCUAAUGGUUCCAGUGGUUAGACGUUUAUUGCGAGAACUGAAGGCCCUGGGUUCAAUCCCUGGCAAGGUC